CGCCUUUGGAUUAUGAUCAAAAGGUUGAGCCUGCCCGGUGACGUAAGUUAAACGGCUGCAGUACUCUGACUGUGCAAAGGUAGCAAAAUCAAUUGUUCAUUAAUUGUGGACUGGAAUCAACGGCUUGACGAUAAGAAAGCUGUCUCUCUUUACUAAACUCUGAAGUUAGCUGGAUAGUGAAGAGACUCUCUUAGCAAAGCGGGACGAGAAGACCCCGUUGAGCUUUAGUAAAAAUUGUUUAUUAAAAACUUAAUUACUUGAGUUGGGGCAACUAUCUUUCUUUUUUAAAACAAAGGUAAAAAUGUUUUGAGUUGAUUCUUUUAUGACCCUUAAUCUUAGGAAUAGUAGAAAAAGUUACCACGGGGAUAACAGCGUAAUUUUUUUUGAGAGUUCUUAUUGACAAAAAAGUUUGCGACCUCGAUGUUGGAUCAUAGUUUCCGGGGGGUGCAGCAGCUCCCAAAGGUCGGUUUGUUCAACCGUUAAAGCUAUACGC
RNAcentral lists this ribosomal RNA (493 nucleotides) under Ophiothrix fragilis. Its description in RNAcentral is "partial 16S ribosomal RNA". It matches the Rfam family "Bacterial large subunit ribosomal RNA", at positions 1829 to 2601 of the family's 2925-position model. Lineage: Eukaryota; Metazoa; Echinodermata; Ophiuroidea; Amphilepidida; Ophiotrichidae. The record is from RNAcentral.